RNAcentral lists this ribosomal RNA (639 nucleotides) under uncultured Bacillota bacterium. RNAcentral describes it as "bacterial SSU rRNA". It matches the Rfam family "Bacterial small subunit ribosomal RNA", at positions 263 to 916 of the family's 1533-position model. The record is from RNAcentral. Lineage: Bacteria; Bacillati; Bacillota.
GCUCACCAAGGCGACGAUCAGUAGCCGGUCUGAGAGGAUGAACGGCCACAUUGGGACUGAGAUACGGCCCAGACUCCUACGGGAGGCAGCAGUGGGGAAUAUUGGGCAAUGGGGGAAACCCUGACCCAGCAACGCCGCGUGAAGGAAGAAGGCCUUCGGGUUGUAAACUUCUUUUACCAGGGACGAAGGACGUGACGGUACCUGGAGAAAAAGCAACGGCUAACUACGUGCCAGCAGCCGCGGUAAUACGUAGGUUGCAAGCGUUGUCCGGAUUUACUGGGUGUAAAGGGCGUGUAGGCGGAGAUGCAAGUUGGGAGUGAAAUCCAUGGGCUCAACCCAUGAACUGCUCUCAAAACUGUAUCCCUUGAGUAUCGGAGAGGCAAGCGGAAUUCCUAGUGUAGCGGUGAAAUGCGUAGAUAUUAGGAGGAACACCAGUGGCGAAGGCGGCUUGCUGGACGACAACUGACGCUGAGGCGCGAAAGCGUGGGGAGCAAACAGGAUUAGAUACCCUGGUAGUCCACGCUGUAAACGAUGAAUACUAGGUGUGGGAGGACUGACCCCUUCCGUGCCGCAGUUAACACAAUAAGUAUUCCACCUGGGGAGUACGACCGCAAGGUUACAACUCAAAUGAAUUGACGG